RNAcentral lists this ribosomal RNA (497 nucleotides) under uncultured bacterium. Its description in RNAcentral is "partial 16S ribosomal RNA". It matches the Rfam family "Bacterial small subunit ribosomal RNA", at positions 28 to 507 of the family's 1533-position model. The record is from RNAcentral.
GACGAACGCUGGCGGCGUGCCUAAUACAUGCAAGUAGAACGCUGAAGAGAGGAGCUUACUCUUCUUGGAUGAGUUGCGAACGGGUGAGUAACGCGUAGGUAACCUGCCUUGUAGCGGGGGAUAACUAUUGGAAACGAUAGCUAAUACCGCAUAACAAUGGAUGACACAUGUCAUUUAUUUGAAAGGGGCAAUUGCUCCACUACAAGAUGGACCUGCGUUGUAUUAGCUAGUAGGUGAGGUAAUGGCUCACCUAGGCGACGAUACAUAGCCGACCUGAGAGGGUGAUAGGCCACACUGGGACUGAGACACGGCCCAGACUCCUACGGGAGGCAGCAGUAGGGAAUCUUCGGCAAUAGGGGCAACCCUGACCGAGCAACGCCGCGUGAGUGAAGAAGGUUUUCGGAUCGUAAAGCUCUGUUGUAAGUCAAGAACGGGUGUGAGAGUGGAAAGUUCACACUGUGACGGUAGCUUACCAGAAAGGGACGGCUAACUACGUG